Molecule: long non-coding RNA, 180 nt
Filed under: Numida meleagris (helmeted guineafowl)
Lineage: Eukaryota; Metazoa; Chordata; Aves; Galliformes; Numididae
Description: lncRNA (ENSNMEG00000012943.1)
Source: RNAcentral
CCCAGAUGUCCUCUGCUCUGAACAUGCAUGACUUUUUGGCCUCCCAGCCAGCCAUGUAAGACAAAGAAACAAUUGAAAUCUGCAGCUAAGCAUUUUCCCUGCCUGAAUCUUCCAAUUCAGUUCUGCAGUUUAUUCUCCCCUUUUUUUUUUUUCUGCCAGUGUCCCGGCUUCUCCUGCUAA